GACGGAGGAUGCAAGCGUUAUCCGGAAUGAUUGGGCGUAAAGCGUCCGCAGGUGGCAGUUCAAGUCUGCUGUCAAAGACCGGGGCUUAACUUCGGAAGGGCAGUGGAAACUGAACAGCUAGAGUAUGGUAGGGGCAGAGGGAAUUCCUGGUGUAGCGGUGAAAUGCGUAGAGAUCAGGAAGAACAUCGGUGGCGAAGGCGCUCUGCUGGACCAUAACUGACACUCAGGGACGAAAGCUAGGGGAGCGAAUGGG
Molecule: ribosomal RNA, 253 nt
Filed under: uncultured bacterium
Lineage: Bacteria
Description: partial 16S ribosomal RNA
Rfam family: Bacterial small subunit ribosomal RNA
Source: RNAcentral